Molecule: unclassified non-coding RNA, 475 nt
Filed under: Aspergillus sp. MF-51
Lineage: Eukaryota; Fungi; Ascomycota; Eurotiomycetes; Eurotiales; Aspergillaceae
Description: partial contains ITS1, 5.8S rRNA and ITS2
Rfam family: 5.8S ribosomal RNA (bases 128-281)
Source: RNAcentral
CCUCCCACCCGUGACUACCUAACACUGUUGCUUCGGCGGGGAGCCCUCUCGGGGGCGAGCCGCCGGGGACUACUGAACUUCAUGCCUGAGAGUGAUGCAGUCUGAGUCUGAAUAUAAAAUCAGUCAAAACUUUCAACAAUGGAUCUCUUGGUUCCGGCAUCGAUGAAGAACGCAGCGAACUGCGAUAAGUAAUGUGAAUUGCAGAAUUCAGUGAAUCAUCGAGUCUUUGAACGCACAUUGCGCCCCCUGGCAUUCCGGGGGGCAUGCCUGUCCGAGCGUCAUUGCUGCCCAUCAAGCCCGGCUUGUGUGUUGGGUCGUCGUCCCCCCCGGGGGACGGGCCCGAAAGGCAGCGGCGGCACCGUGUCCGGUCCUCGAGCGUAUGGGGCUUUGUCACCCGCUCGAUUUAGGGCCGGCCGGGCGCCAGCCGACGUCCAACCAUUUUCUGAUAAAAUCAGUCUUCAGGUGACCUCGAUCA